UACGUAGGCAGCAAGCGUUGUUCGGAGUUACUGGGCGUAAAGGGUGUGUAGGCGGUUCUUUAAGUUUGGUGUGAAAUCUCCCGGCUCAACUGGGAGGGUGCGCCGAAUACUGAGGGACUAGAGUACGGGAGAGGAAAGUGGAAUUCCUGGUGUAGCGGUGAAAUGCGUAGAUAUCAGGAGGAACACCGGUGGUGUAGACGGCUUUCUGGACCGUAACUGACGCUGAAACACGAAAGCGUGGGUAGCAAACAGG
RNAcentral lists this ribosomal RNA (253 nucleotides) under uncultured bacterium. Its description in RNAcentral is "partial 16S ribosomal RNA". It matches the Rfam family "Bacterial small subunit ribosomal RNA", at positions 524 to 776 of the family's 1533-position model. The record is from RNAcentral.